This 252-nucleotide ribosomal RNA is filed under the name uncultured bacterium. Its description in RNAcentral is "partial 16S ribosomal RNA". It matches the Rfam family "Bacterial small subunit ribosomal RNA", at positions 524 to 776 of the family's 1533-position model. The record is from RNAcentral.
UACGGAGGGUGCAAGCGUUAUCCGGAUUCACUGGGUUUAAAGGGUGCGUAGGCGGGUUGGUAAGUCCGUGGUGAAAUCUCCAAGCUUAACUUGGAAACUGCCGUGGAUACUAUCAAUCUUGAAUGUCGUGGAGGUAAGCGGAAUAUGUCAUGUAGCGGUGAAAUGCUUAGAGAUGACAUAGAACACCAAUUGCGUAGGCAGCUUACUACACGAAUAUUGACGCUGAGGCACGAAAGCGUGGGAGCAAACAGG